UUCAACAGGCUCUGAGCACGCGGAAUACAGAGAACCUUCCCUUCCCCCAGGUCCCCUGCUCUGUGGCCGGGGCACGACUCAGUGGCCGUGCUCUUUCCUCACAGGAAGCAGGCUGCUUGGUGUGGGGCACGCAGUUUCCUCAAACCCACAGUGAGGGCUGAAGCUUUGAUUCCCAGCAGUUACUCCCUCCACUGAGCUUCACGGGGCAGGCCUUCAGAGCUCCCAGCACAGAAAGCCGGGGACUGGAGGCAACCAGCGCUGUGUGCUCUAGAGGCUUCCUGGGAUGAAGUACUGUUUCCUCACCUGUGGACCACUGCAGACAGGG
This is a long non-coding RNA of Ailuropoda melanoleuca (giant panda), 325 nucleotides long. RefSeq lists it as uncharacterized. The transcript has 3 exons. The record is from RefSeq and is a predicted model, not a curated record. NCBI's taxonomy places the organism in Eukaryota, Metazoa, Chordata, Mammalia, Carnivora, Ursidae.